Molecule: ribosomal RNA, 253 nt
Filed under: uncultured bacterium
Lineage: Bacteria
Description: partial 16S ribosomal RNA
Rfam family: Bacterial small subunit ribosomal RNA
Source: RNAcentral
UACGUAGGUGGCAAGCGUUGUCCGGAUUUAUUGGGUUUAAAGGGUGCGUAGGUGGCCCUGUAAGUCAGUGGUGAAAUAUCUCAGCUUAACUGAGAGGGUGCCAUUGAUACUGCAGGGCUUGAGUACAGAUGAGGUAGGCGGAAUUGACGGUGUAGCGGUGAAAUGCAUAGAUAUCGUCAAGAACACCGAUGGCGAAGGCGGCAUCCUGGACCGAGAUUGACACUGAUGAGCGAAAGCUAGGGGAGCAAACGGG